This 997-nucleotide long non-coding RNA is filed under the name Sus scrofa (pig). Its description in RNAcentral is "lncRNA (ENSSSCG00060052380.1)". The record is from RNAcentral. Lineage: Eukaryota; Metazoa; Chordata; Mammalia; Artiodactyla; Suidae.
ACAACAGGAACUCCUCUGAAGCUCUUUUGGAUGCAGAGGUCUGACUCUCUCUGGCUCUAGUUACCCAGGAAGGGCUGCCUCAUGCCAGCCCAGAUGGUCAUGGGCCCCACUAGCCCAUUUAGAGCUUGGGGUCAAACAUAGUAGCAUUAGGAUUUGAGAAGGAAAGGCAUAGCUGGGGAAAUUUCCAUUUUGAGAUCUGGGAAAAGAAUUGAAGAUGAUGAGGUACCAGGAAUUGGUACCUUGGUGACCUCAGAUCCUGUUUGUGACCAAAUUUGCCACAUGAGGUACAGGGCCCCCCCAGCAAUGUGGGAUCCAAGCCACGUCUGCAACCUACACCACAGCUUACUGCAACUCCAGAUUCUUAACCCACAGCAAGGCCAGGGAUCAAACCCACAACCUCAUGGUUCCUAGUCAGAUUCAUUAACCACUGAGCCACGAGGGGAACUCCAUGAACUCUUAGUUUCCAUGGAAUUAACUAUGAUAUUUAGGGUCAAUACUUAGCAUCUUUGUUAAGAAUCGGGAUGGGUUAAGUUUUUUAAUUUUGAUGAUUUUGGGGGCCUUACUAUCACUGGAAGUUGUGGUCCCUCCCAGGGUUAGCAAAUUCCUACAGAUAGCAAACAACUCCCUUGGCAGUUUCAUAGACAAACCAGCCAAUCCAAGACCAUACCGCAACCACAUGCUUUAUCUGCUGCUCACAGUGUCUCACCUUUGGCCACUGUUCCUCUGUCCUAAUUGCCCCAGGCCUAGGUACCUGACAACUAGGAAGAGUCCCUAUAUCUGAGAGUCUGCAGAAAUUAUUCAAACUAGACUGUCCUAAACCUGCUUACCCUGCCUCACCUAUUCCUUCCUGUGAAAACCAUUAUGAAGGUUCUUGCCCAUGUUCCCCCCUCAAUUUCCUUUUCUCCUGACUGGCCCUUAUGCUCCUCUAGGUGGCCCUGUGUGGCAUGAUGUGCCCCUUCUUUUGGGAACUGUCAAUAAAAAAUUGUCUUUUCAGUGA